RNAcentral lists this ribosomal RNA (509 nucleotides) under uncultured bacterium. RNAcentral describes it as "bacterial SSU rRNA". It matches the Rfam family "Bacterial small subunit ribosomal RNA", at positions 976 to 1482 of the family's 1533-position model. The record is from RNAcentral.
UAGGCUAGAAUGUGAGGGAAGAAAGGGUAAUACCGAUUGUCUGGGAAACCAGACCCAAAACAAGGUGCUGCAUGGCUGUCGUCAGCUCGUGUCGUGAGAUGCUGGGUUAAGUCCCGCAAUGAGCGCAACCCUUAUCGAUAGUUGCCAUCAUUAAGUUGGGAACUCUAUUGAGACUGCCGUUGAUAAAUCGGAGGAAGGUGGGGAUGAUGUCAAGUCAUCAUGGCCUUUAUGUUUAGGGCUACACACGUGCUCCAAUGGCCGGUACAAAACGUCGCGAACCCGUAAGGGGGAGCUAAUCGCAAAAACCGGUCCUCAGUUCGGAUUGGAGUCUGCAACUCGACUCCAUGAAGUUGGAAUCGCUAGUAAUCGCAAAUCAGCAUGUUGCGGUGAAUACGUUCCCGGGUCUUGUUCACACCGCCCGUCACAUCACGAAAGUAGGUUGUACUAGAAGUAGCUGGGCCAACUCGCAAGAGAGGCAGGUUCCCUCGGUAUGAUCUAUGAUUGGGGUG